CAAUAGCGUAUAUUAAAGUUGUUGCAGUUAAAAAGCUCGUAGUUGGAUUUGUGGCGUACGGUGUGUUCCGGGCACUUGUUGUCUGAGUAACCUGCUGUUGCCAUCCUUGGGUGGAACCUGUGUGGCAUUAGGUUGUUGUGCAGGGGAUGCCCAUCAUUUACUGUGAAAAAAUUAGAGUGUUCAAAGCAGGCUUAUGCCGUUGAAUAUAUUAGCAUGGAAUAAUGAGAUAGGACUUUUUUGCUAUUUUGUUGGUUUGCGCAAAGAGGUAAUGAUUAAUAGGGACAGUUGGGGGUAUUCGUAUUCCAUUGUCAGAGGUGAAAUUCUUGGAUUUUUGGAAGACGAACUACUGCGAAAGCAUUUACCAAGGAUGUUUUCAUUAA
This 380-nucleotide ribosomal RNA is filed under the name uncultured eukaryote. Its description in RNAcentral is "partial 18S ribosomal RNA". It matches the Rfam family "Eukaryotic small subunit ribosomal RNA", at positions 592 to 976 of the family's 1831-position model. The record is from RNAcentral.